Molecule: ribosomal RNA, 240 nt
Filed under: uncultured bacterium
Lineage: Bacteria
Description: partial 16S ribosomal RNA
Rfam family: Bacterial small subunit ribosomal RNA
Source: RNAcentral
UGGCGAACGGGUGAGUAACGCGUGAGGAACCUGCCUCAAAGAGGGGGACAACAGUUGGAAACGACUGCUAAUACCGUAUAAGCCCACGGGUCGGCAUCGACCUGAGGGAAAAGGAGCAAUCCGCUUUGAGAUGGCCUCGCGUCCGAUUAGCUAGUUGGUGAGGUAACGGCCCACCAAGGCGACGAUCGGUAGCCGGACUGAGAGGUUGAACGGCCACAUUGGGACUGAGACACGGCCCAG